This is a non-coding RNA of Brachypodium distachyon (stiff brome), 136 nucleotides long. The record is from Rfam. NCBI's taxonomy places the organism in Eukaryota, Viridiplantae, Streptophyta, Magnoliopsida, Poales, Poaceae.
UAUAUACUCCCAACGUUCAACGAAAGAUGUCUCAAGUUUGUUAAAAUUUAGAUGUAUCUAGACAUGACUUGGUGUAUAGAUGCAUUCAAAUUUAGUCAAAGUUGAGACAUCCUUUGUUGGACGAAGGGAGUAGUAU